This 464-nucleotide ribosomal RNA is filed under the name uncultured bacterium. RNAcentral describes it as "bacterial SSU rRNA". It matches the Rfam family "Bacterial small subunit ribosomal RNA", at positions 331 to 792 of the family's 1533-position model. The record is from RNAcentral.
CCAGACUCCUACGGGAGGCAGCAGUGAGGAAUAUUGGUCAAUGGGCGAGAGCCUGAACCAGCCAAGUCGCGUGAGGGAAGGCGGUCCUAUGGAUUGUAAACCUCUUUUGUCGGGGAGCAAAAAGGCCUCGUGAGGCCACAAGUGAGAGUACCCGAAGAAAAAGCAUCGGCUAACUCCGUGCCAGCAGCCGCGGUAAUACGGAGGAUGCGAGCGUUAUCCGGAUUUAUUGGGUUUAAAGGGUGCGCAGGCGGCGUUGUAAGCCAGGGGAAAAAGCCGGGGGCCCAACCCCGGCGAGCCGUUGAAACUGGCGGGCUGGAGUUGGAGAGAAGUACGCGGAAUGCGCGGUGUAGCGGUGAAAUGCUUAGAUAUCGCGCAGAACCCCGAUUGCGAAGGCAGCGUACCGGCUCCACACUGACGCUGAGGCACGAAAGCGUGGGUAUCGAACAGGAUUAGAUACCCGUGUA